This 407-nucleotide ribosomal RNA is filed under the name uncultured bacterium. RNAcentral describes it as "partial 16S ribosomal RNA". It matches the Rfam family "Bacterial small subunit ribosomal RNA", at positions 28 to 526 of the family's 1533-position model. The record is from RNAcentral.
GACGAACGCUGGCGGCGUGCCUAAUACAUGCAAGUAGGACGCAGUUGCGAACGGGUGAUUAACGCGUAGGUAACUACCUAUUAGAGGGGGAUAACUAUUGGCAACUAUAGCUAAUACCGCAUACUAGUAGAUGGACCUUCGUUGUAUUAGCUAGUAGGUAGGGUAAUGGCCUACCUAGGCAACGAUACAUAGCCGACUUGAAAGGGGGAUCUGCCACAAUGGGACUGGGGCAAGGCGCAGACGCCGACGGGAGGCAGCAGUAGGGAAUCGUAGGCAAUGGGGGGAACCCUGACCGAGCAACGCCGCGGGAGGGAAGAAGGGUUUCGGAUCGUAAAGCUCUGUUGUUAAGGAAGCGGUACUUAACCAGAAAGGAACGGCUAACUACGUGCCAGCAGCCGCGGUAAUAC